UAACCAGAAACAGGGAAGAUUUAUUAGUACUAUCCUUUAUCACAUGAAGAUCCUGAUGUUUAAAAGCGUAACUCACUCACAGCCAGGAUGAGAAGAGAAAAACACUUGCUCCUGAAGGUAGAUGGGUAAAACAGAUGUGCUUUUGCUCUUUUCUCCUGCUUGUGAUCUAUGGUUUUAUUAAAAAAUAAUGUCCAACUUUUGGAACGUUUGUAACAACCAGCAAAAAAUACUGAAGCCAAAUAGCAUUUUCCCAUACUAAAGAUAUCCAAGGAUAACAUAAAUAAUUUAUAUCUCCAGACAAUACAAAUUCUAUUCUGCCACUACAUAAUUUUAUUUGAACAAACAAAAUAAUAUGUGUGAAAUUAUCUGCAGUGUCUACUUUCUAUAAGUGAUCAAUAUAUGUUGGUUGAAUCUAAAACUAUUAAACCUAUUUUUUUUCUCUUGAGUUUCUUGUGUCUGUUUUUUGUUUGUUUUUCCUCCAGAAUUCUUCUGUUUUUGGUGUGCUUCAUGACUCACUACUGGAGGCUAUAGCAGAAGCCAGGAAUGGAAGCAGCUUUUGGUGGAACCUAUUCUCAGGAUUAGGACAAGAAAUGGCUUCCAGAGCUAUGUGUAGAACAUUCUCAAUUCCAAGAAAUAUUACUGAAAAUCUAGACAGAAACCUCAGAUUCCAUCAAUGUAUAGCUAAACAAGAUUGAAGAAAAUAAUUGAAUGUGAAGAACUGAAAUCAAUGUCAGAACCUCUAAUGAGCUAUAACCACAGUGAAUUGCUACACCACCUGUUCCAGACAGACAGAUGGAGGCCCUCUGGGGGUCAUGGCUCCCCUUGUAAAGAAAGCUGGAAUCACAUGCAUGCACAAUUUUGACAGAACAAAAAAAGACAAAGGAACUGACACUUAAUAGGAGAUCAUAGUGACUUUGUUAAGAAAUAUCAGCACUCUCAGCUUCUGACUCCCUCUAUUUCCUGUCAUUUUAGGGUUAGGUAGGUGCAUCAUUCCUCAAGCACCUUUCACUAAGAAGAACAAGAAGACAAAUCUGCAUACUCGGAGGCUCUGGCAAGCAUGCAGAUGGAAUAAGCUGAGUAUGUUGGGUAACAGAAAUAAAACACAGAGCUGUAUUAUAUUUGGUUCCGUAAUGCCUAGCAGCAACUUUACAUUCAUAUUAGAUUUGGAUGAUUGACAAUAGACUGAAGUUGGGGGAGGGGAGGAUAGUGAUAUUAAGGAAUAGAUAGAUGGAAAAGAAAGGGGCACAUUAGAUAGAAAUUCCAAUUUUAGGAUAGUGUGUGUGAAUUGUCCUAUAAGGAGAUUCUUUGGAAGGUAUACUUAAAGAAGAAAAUAGUUAAUUGUUGUUCAUUAAAAAUAUGGUCUGUAAUUUUAGUAA
Long non-coding RNA from Pipistrellus kuhlii (Kuhl's pipistrelle), 1376 nucleotides. RefSeq lists it as uncharacterized. Lineage: Eukaryota; Metazoa; Chordata; Mammalia; Chiroptera; Vespertilionidae. The transcript has 2 exons. The record is from RefSeq and is a predicted model, not a curated record.